GACGAACGCUGGCGGCGUGCCUAAUACAUGCAAGUCGAACGAGAGCGACCGGUGCUUGCACGGGUCAAUCUAGGGGAAAACGGGUGAGUAACACGGGGGUAACCUGCCCAACAGAGGGGGAUAACAGCCGGAAACGGAUGCUAACACCGCAGAGGUCUUCGAACCACAUGGUUGGAGGAAGAAAUUAGGCGGAGGGUUCAGCUGGUGGCUGGACCGGCGGUGCAUUAGCUAGUUGGUGAGGAAACGGUUCACCAAGGCCGUGAUGCAUAGCCGACCUGAGGGGGUGAUCGGCCACCUUGGGACUGAGACACGGCCCAUACUCCUGCGGGAGGCCGCAGUCGGGAAUCUUCCGCAAUGGACGCAAGUCUGACGGAGCAACGCCGCGUGAGUUACGAAGGUUUUGCGAUCGUAAAACUCUGUUGUUAGUGAAGAACAAGUUCUAGAGUAACUGUUAGCGCCUUGACGGUAUCUAGCCAGAAAGCCCCGGCUAACUACGUG
This 498-nucleotide ribosomal RNA is filed under the name uncultured bacterium. RNAcentral describes it as "partial 16S ribosomal RNA". It matches the Rfam family "Bacterial small subunit ribosomal RNA", at positions 28 to 507 of the family's 1533-position model. The record is from RNAcentral.